This 292-nucleotide ribosomal RNA is filed under the name uncultured bacterium. RNAcentral describes it as "partial 16S ribosomal RNA". It matches the Rfam family "Bacterial small subunit ribosomal RNA", at positions 775 to 1067 of the family's 1533-position model. The record is from RNAcentral.
GGAUUAGAUACCCUGGUAGUCCACGCCGUAAACGUUGGGAACUAGAUGUAGGGACCAUUCCACGGUUUCUGUGUCGCAGCUAACGCAUUAAGUUCCCCGCCUGGGGAGUACGGUCGCAAGACUAAAACUCAAAGGAAUUGACGGGGGCCCGCACAAGCGGCGGAGCAUGCGGAUUAAUUCGAUGCAACGCGAAGAACCUUACCAAGGCUUGACAUAUAGAGGAAACGUCUGGAAACAGUCGCCCCGCAAGGUCUCUAUACAGGUGGUGCAUGGUUGUCGUCAGCUCGUGCCG